GACAGCAGUCGCCGCGGGAAUACGAAGGGGGCUAGCGUUGUUCGGAAUUACUGGGCGUAAAGGGCGCGUAGGCGGCCAUUCAAGUUAGAUGUGAAAGCCCUGGGCUCAACCUAGGAAUUGCAUUUGAUACUGUUUGGCUUGGGUUCGGGAGAGGUGAGUGGAAUUCCCAGUGUAGAGGUGAAAUUCGUAGAUAUUGGGAAGAACACCAGUGGCGAAGGCGGCUCACUGGACCGACACUGACGCUGAGGCGCGAAAGCGUGGGGAGCAAACAGGAUUAGAUACCCGUGUAGUCCCUGUCUCUUAUAC
RNAcentral lists this ribosomal RNA (306 nucleotides) under uncultured bacterium. Its description in RNAcentral is "partial 16S ribosomal RNA". It matches the Rfam family "Bacterial small subunit ribosomal RNA", at positions 507 to 807 of the family's 1533-position model. The record is from RNAcentral.